RNAcentral lists this long non-coding RNA (1752 nucleotides) under Homo sapiens (human). Its description in RNAcentral is "HSALNT0178603". Lineage: Eukaryota; Metazoa; Chordata; Mammalia; Primates; Hominidae. The record is from RNAcentral.
UUACCAAGUAGAGACUCUUGCUCCCUUCCUUUACUUUCUCCCAAACACAUAAAGUCUCUCUCUGUAUGCUGAGCCACCUGGAGCUGGAAGAGGAGUGAUACAAGCACCUCUGUGACUACUACCAUUGGGACUGCACUGAGUCAGACCUAAAGCCAGUACAUAACUGGGUCUUGCCCAAGAGCCACAGUAACUACUGCCUGGUACUUCCUAUGUUCACUCAAGGCCCUAGGGCUCUACAAUAGAAGCCAGCCAGGCUUGUGUCCUUCUCUUCAGGGCAGUGAGUUCCCCUGACUCCAGGUGGGUUCAGAGAUGCCGUCCAGGAGCCAGGCCUAGAGUCAGAAACCUUAGGGAUCUACCUGGUGCUCUAUUCUACUGUGACUGAGCUGGUACCCAAGACACAAGAUAAAGUUCUUCAUACUCUUCCCUCCCUUUGCAGAAGAAUCUCUCCCUGUGGCCACCAUGCCCCAGGCCCACAGCAAGUACUGCCUGGCUACCACCAAUGUUCACUCAAGACCCAAGGCUCUUCAGUCAACUUGUGGUGAAUGCUGCUGGGCCUGGGACUCUCCCUUUAGGGCCCUGGUCCCAGGGAAGGUCCAGAUAUGCCAUCCACAAGCCAAGGCCUGGAAUCAGGAACCCCAAGAGCCUGCUUGGUGCUCUACCCUACUGUGGCUGAGCUGGUACCUAACUGCAAGACAAAGUCCUCUCUACUUUUUUCUCAAGCAGAAGGAGUCCCUCCCUGUGGCUACCAUAGCUGGGAAUGUGCUGGGUUUACACCUGAAGCCAGCACAUCUCUGAAUCUCUCACCCAGGGCCCAUGGUGGAAGGAAGGAGUCUCUCCUGGAGCCAUGAGCUGUGCUGCCUGGUGCUGUGGGAGAGGUGGUGCAAGCAUUUCCUUGGUUACCCUGGCCAGUGUCUCACUAGGUCACAUAACCCCUAAGUCCACUGGCUCUGAUCCUGGAACAGCACCCGGACUUGCCGAGGAAUUGCAGUCCUGUGGCUUAGACUGCCUCUCAAGUUUACUUAGAACCCCAGAGCAUUUUAGCCCACAAUGAUGAGGCUUGCUGGAACUCAGGUCUCAGCUACUGGGAUAGACAAUUCCCCACCCAGAUAGGGCUGGUCUAAAUGCUCUUCCAUGCUUCCAUGGGUUCUGGCUGAGUUUUGGAUGGUGUUGCUUCCCACUGUGACAGGGUGGCAGUGAGUUCCAAUGCAAAGUGUGCCACAAUCACUGUGCUUUCCCUCCCCCAAACACAUAGAUUCUCUCUCCAUGCCAUGUGGCCACUGCCAGGGGAUGGAAGAGGGGUGGUGUCUGCAAUUCAAGAUGGUUUUUUCUACCCUUUUAUGUGCUCUUUAAGUAAUAUGAAGUUAAAACCAGGUACUAUGAUUACUCACCUGAUUUUUGGUUGUUAUGAAGGUGAUUUUUUUGUGUGAAUAGUUGUUCAAUUUGGUGUUCCUGUGGGGAGGACAAUUAGUAGAGGCUUUUAUUCAGCCAUCUUGCCCCACCUCCUCCUCUGCAAUUGUCAACUUUUUUUUUUGAGAUGGGAUCUUGCUAUGUUGCCCAGGCUGGUCUUGAACUCCUAGGCUGCUCAAGGAAUCUUCCCAUCUCAGCCUCCCAAAGUGCUAGGAUUACAGGCAUGAGCCACAUGGCCGGCCUGCAAUAGUCAACUUUUAAUACCCCCACCGAUAUCUUAGACUAGGAUCACUUGGCUGCAAGGAACAGGAACCUUUUUAAACCAGCUCAAGAAAAAGGGGUGUG